RNAcentral lists this ribosomal RNA (421 nucleotides) under uncultured bacterium. RNAcentral describes it as "bacterial SSU rRNA". It matches the Rfam family "Bacterial small subunit ribosomal RNA", at positions 355 to 774 of the family's 1533-position model. The record is from RNAcentral.
UAAGGAAUAUUGGUCAAUGGACGCAAGUCUGAACCAGCCAUGCCGCGUGAAGGAUGAAGGUCCUCUGGAUUGUAAACUUCUUUUAUCUGGGACGAAAACGGGAUUUUUAUCUCAAUUGACGGUACCCUGGGAAUAAGCACCGGCUAACUCCGUGCCAGCAGCCGCGGUAAUACGGAGGGUGCAAGCGUUAUCCGGAUUCACUGGGUUUAAAGGGUGCGUAGGUGGGCAGAUAAGUCAGUGGUGAAAUCUUCCGGCUUAACCGGGAAACUGCCGUUGAUACUAUUUGUCUUGAAUAUUGCGGAGGUAAGCGGAAUAUGUCAUGUAGCGGUGAAAUGCUUAGAUAUGACAUAGAACACCAAUUGCGAAGGCAGCUUACUACACAAUCAUUGACACUGAGGCACGAAAGCGUGGGUAGCGAACA